GAUGAAGAACGCAGCGAAAUGCGAUAAGUAGUGUGAAUUGCAGAAUUCAGUGAAUCAUCGAAUCUUUGAACGCACAUUGCGGCCAUAGGUAUUCCUUUGGCCAUGCCUGUUCGAGCGUCAUUUACACCCUCAAGCCUAGCUUGGUGUUGGGCGCCUGUCCCGCCGUUUUCGCGCGCGGACUCGCCUCAAAGUCAUUGGCGGCGGUCGUGCCGGCCCCCUCGCGCAGCACAUUUGCGCUUCUCGGAGGCCCGGCGGAUCCGCGCUCCAGCAAGACCUUUCACGACUUGACCUCGGAUCAGGUAGGGAUACCCGCUGAACUUAAGCAUAUCAAUAAGCGGAGG
RNAcentral lists this unclassified non-coding RNA (341 nucleotides) under soil metagenome. RNAcentral describes it as "partial contains 5.8S ribosomal RNA, internal transcribed spacer 2, and large subunit ribosomal RNA". The stretch from base 1 to 120 matches the Rfam family "5.8S ribosomal RNA", at positions 35 to 154 of the family's 154-position model. The record is from RNAcentral.